GGAAGAUGUGCGCAAGGUGCGCAGCUGGCUUGCUAAGCCGGUACAGGUGAAAGCCUGAAGGUUCGAUUCCUUCUUCUUCCGC
This 82-nucleotide transfer RNA is filed under the name Corynebacterium phage C3PO. RNAcentral describes it as "tRNA-Ser". It matches the Rfam family "tRNA". From Rfam's summary of the family: Transfer RNA (tRNA) molecules are approximately 80 nucleotides in length. Their secondary structure includes four short double-helical elements and three loops (D, anti-codon, and T loops). Lineage: Duplodnaviria; Heunggongvirae; Uroviricota; Caudoviricetes; Zierdtviridae. The record is from RNAcentral. RNAcentral also lists the same sequence under 1 other name.